RNAcentral lists this long non-coding RNA (1016 nucleotides) under Gallus gallus (chicken). RNAcentral describes it as "lncRNA (ENSGALG00010025068.1)". Lineage: Eukaryota; Metazoa; Chordata; Aves; Galliformes; Phasianidae. The record is from RNAcentral.
AUCACACCUUUGGACAUGUCUGCUUCAGCACAUUCAGCAACUAGCAGUUAAAAAUUUACGUAUCUACCCUGCCACAUUUCUGAAGACCUCUACAAGCACAAAGCUGGACUGUAUAACCUAACCUUAUAAGAUAUUGGAUCACUUCCUCAAGAUUCUUCUCUGUGAAAUGCAGAUGAAAACCAGAAGGCAAAAUUGGCUCUGUGGAACAUUUCAAUAAACUGGAAAUCAUUCUUGAGUACUUUCAUUGGUGACUGGAUAUACGUGAUUAGACAUGCACACAAUAGCAGCUUUGCCAGGUGUAGAAGGGUGAAACUGUAUAAUUAUAUUGAAAAUAAAAUUGUACAAAGGAAAGACAACUCAGGAAGUUGCAGUUUUGUCAUGUUUGGAGAAAACUUGCAUGCCUAAGUCAAACCAGCCUUCAGGCAACUUCAGACUUCUAUAGCUGACAGUUACACAGCAAAUCACUCACUGACCUUGGCAGUGCUUUAUGGGUUACACUAUAAUAUGCACACUUUCUUAAAUUGUAUCUCAAUCUGUUUGGCACAAGAAAUCUUCCUUCAUAGCACAGGGCUUGAAAUUUUAUUUCUAAAGCAGGGAAACUUGCUUGGCAGUGUUAUCCAGCUACUCACAUCUAAUAGAGCUGCACUGUAGAUGUGGUCAUGAAAUGGUUCUCUCUUAUCCUUCUCUGUUUGGAGAUCAAACUACCCAGAGGAGAAGCAUCCUUCUGCUGAUAUUUGAGCUCCCACCACUCUUCCCCUCCAGAGAAACCACAGCAAUAGACUGCAAGCAGAAACCUGCACGUAUUGAAAUUAUAUUGUCUAUUUCAAUUUGUACCCUCUUCCACCAGCACAGAUGAACUUCACCAACACUCGUGUACUUGCCUUUCAUUCUCUUCUCACCUACUUAGCCCUCAUGAUCCUCUGAAUUUCUCAAAUUUUCCUAAAUACCUCUAGCAUUCCUUCAACAAUUGUAAAUAACUAAACAUUCUACAUUAAGUUUUCAGAGAGAGAACACAU